Scylla paramamosain (green mud crab) is the source of this 575-nucleotide long non-coding RNA. RefSeq lists it as uncharacterized. The transcript has 3 exons. NCBI's taxonomy places the organism in Eukaryota, Metazoa, Arthropoda, Malacostraca, Decapoda, Portunidae. The record is from RefSeq and is a predicted model, not a curated record.
GAGACUGCAUGCCCACUGAUGUAUGAAGCAAGGGCCUAUCUCCCACCAAGGCCCGAUUCAGAAGAUGAUCAGUCAUUAGAGAGACAUAGACAGUGGCUUGUUCUACAGUGGAUGAAAAAAGAUCCAGAGUUAGAUAAGGUUCAGGAUAUAUUUCUGUUCUUACACACUGAACAGCAUGCUGUUACUAGAGACGUGCCCCAAAUUUUUUUUUACAUUUACGGCAGUCACCGAACCCUUCUCCAUGACAUAAAUGGAGUGGGCAAGAAGAGGGCCUGGAGUAGCGUGCGGGACCUGCCGGGUCGAGCCGAGGGCGCUAAUUAGUGAGGCUGGUGACGCGGGGUGGGGCGAGCUACAGUGAAACAAUGCCGGGUUUAUCAAGGACUGAGCCGGACUUGUCAUUAACUGGCUCUAAAUACUUGUGUUCCUUUGUGAGCGAGGCGGACCGUUCAGGCCGAGCUUCGCGUUUACUUUGUCCUGACUGUCUGCCUGCCUGCCUGCCUGGCUGUCUGCCGCUUUCUCACUCAAUGCUGACUUCCUACUGAUGCUGUAAUAAAUGAAUAAAUAAGUAAAGUUUA